This 37718-nucleotide long non-coding RNA is filed under the name Zea mays. RNAcentral describes it as "long non-coding RNA (ZMAY_LNC001815)". The record is from RNAcentral. Lineage: Eukaryota; Viridiplantae; Streptophyta; Magnoliopsida; Poales; Poaceae.
GACAAGAAGAGGCUGGCCACCAGUGGAGCCAACUUUGCGCGCGCCUACACCGUGGAGUUCGGCAGCUGCCAGUUCCCCUACAACUUCACUGGGUGCCAGGACCUCGCCAAGCAGAAGGUUCAUUCUCUCAUCAUCACACACAUAUAUAACAAACCUCACCGCGCGGCCUGCUGACAAUAAUCUGAACUGGUUUCUUCUCAUCCUGUGCCGUGUCGUCCGUGCUUCAUUGUGCUCUUGCAGAAAGUCCCCUUCAUCAGCGACGACCUCGAGAUUGAGUGCGAGGGGAAGGAGAAGUUCAAGUGCGGCUCCAACGUUUUCUGGAAGUGGUGAAGCAGCUAGCAGCAGCGUCUGAUGGGAAUGGAGGAGAUCAUCACCUGUCUUGUCGACCCUAGAUAUGUCCAAACUGCAGGGAAAUUAAAUCUUCAUGUGUAAUUGUGCUCAUUCUGUUUCAAUCAUCUCAACAUCCGAUCAUGAACCUCUUGCAUUAUUAACUGGCUCGAUCGUCUUCUCAGUUUAAGACAUUGGAGGCUGCUUUGUUUGUUUCAGAGGUCCUUCUUAAGAUGAUGCUAUAUUUUGUCAUGGUUAAUGUGAUAAACAGGGUCAGGUCGGAUUAUUCUUGAAUAUAUAAAAUAGAAUUUUAGGCUCUAGCAAACCAGUAUAUGAGCAAAAGAAAAUUUGGAAACAAGAAAGUACCUAGAUGUAAAAAAAUAUGAACAAUAAGAAGAGAAUAAUAACAGUAGUAGUCUAUACCACUAGAUAAUCCAACAGUUUAAACAUUACAAAACUCACCUAACCAAAUCAUCCACACACCAAUAACCUCCACAAACAAAUUGCACCCAGACUUAACAUACCAUUAAAACCAAAGGUUCAGAUCUUCCAUUACUUACUCAAAUCCAAUAACAAUAUUAUUUACAUCAUCUCUCAUCCACCCCCUCUCCCUCCGACUCACUCGUGCCGCCACCACCGUCAACCCCGCCCCUCAUGUCGUCGUCGUCAUCGUCGACCCUUCCCCUCCUCGGGGUCAUAGCCGUAGUGAGAUUGCGUAUAAUGUGUGAGAUGCAUUGCAUUGAGCUUUUAGGGAGAAUAUAGAAGUACAUAACUUGGAGGGCAAGAAGUCUAUCCUAAAGAUGACAAAGGUUAUCCUAGAGAUAAGAAAGGUUAUUCCGAGAUUACAAUCAAUCCAAUCAACCUUAACCAACCAUAUCAGAUUUUGCCUAAUAUCACUACCGGAAUUGGCCGCUUUGCCGAGUGCCUGAAGCACUCGGCAAAGUCUAAAAAACACUCGGCAAAGUCUUUGCCGAGUGUCGCACUCGGCAAAGUCUAUGCCGAGUGUCGCACUCGGCAAAGAGGGCUCGAUGAACAGUGCAUCGGCAAAGACUUCUUUGCCGAGUACUUUUUCUCGGGCACUCUUGCCGAGUGCCAGAAGGUACUCGGCACAGACUUUGCCGAGUGCCAGAAGGUACUCGGCAAAGAAAAGCCGCCGUCACGGUGCCGGGGUGAUGGAGACGUCGUCUUUGCUGAGUGUCUCCUAAUGCACUCGGCAAGCAAGUUCCUCUUUGCCGAGUGUCUGCCGGCUAGCACUCGGCACAGAAUCCAUCAGGGGUCCCUUUGUCAGGUUCUUUGUCGAGUGCUCUGUAUGGCACUCGGCAAAGCGUGCCUCUGUGCCGAGUGCCAGGGCCACUACACUCGGCAAUGAACCUAUACCGGUGCCUAGGUCUUGGUUCUUUGCCGAGUGCUAUGGCCAUGACACUCGGCAAACCCCCUCUUUGCCGAGUCUAACACUCGGCAAAGUGACCAGUACACACCUUUUUAUUUGUUUUUUCUAUUCCAUCCAAACAAACAAAAGAUACAUCACAUAUAUUAUCACAUAUAUCACAUAUAUACAUCAUAGAUAUCAUCACAAACAUAAAAUAUCUAACACAAACAUUAAUAUACAAGUUCUCAACACAAACAUAAGUAUCAACACAAGUCCAGAAGUAUAAAAACAUAAUUUUCAAGCUCUAACAUAAGUAUUCAACACAAGUUCUGAAGUCUGAACACUAAAAACAUAGCUCUCAUCGAGGUGGGCUGUUAGACUGGUGCUACGAUGGGCUGGGCUGUUCAUGAGGGUUGUUGGAUGCCGCCCCAGAUUGGCCUUACACAGAGAAGACAUUGCAUGUUUUAUACCAGAUGCAUUACCAACAUCUAACUACAAUUUUGAUACUCACAGGAGUAUGAAACAAAGUAGGGUCAAUUGUAGGGAACAAUGGAGGUGGUGGAGCGAAACUCUGUGCAGCGCCAAGGCUCUGCAUGUAUUGGAACAUCUCCGCCAUUCUCUGCUAAUCUGCCAGGCGAGCCGCCCGCUCCGCCUCCCGCUCCACCAUCAUCCUUGCCUCCAUCUCGUGACGUUCCCUCCUCUCUUCCUCUAGCUGGGUCUAUAAUAUUACAAGCCAAUGUUAUAGUAACUCAAAGAGAAGGUAUAUAACUCAAGUAAUGACGAGUUACAGAAGCACUAACCUCCAGUUGUUGUAUGCGAUGCUGUGAGCUAUCGUGCCGAGGUCGUGUGGCUGGACUCGAGCCCGUGCUCCUUGCUCGCACCUGAGACAAAGUGGGAGUGGAGGACGAGUCGAUUGCCCCAUCGGCAAUCCAGUACCGCCUCUGUCUCUUGCCUCCUUCGACCCUCAUGAGCACAUCGAGGUCGAUCUCCUUGGUCCUCGGAUCGUAUUCUAGGCCAUGGACCUCCUGCGCCAUGGCGAUAUAGUCAUGAAGGCGACUGUAGACGGCGGGGUUGCUCUACGCCUCGGGCCCGUCAUCCGGGUUGUAGGUGACGUCGGACGUCGCCUUGCCCUUAUGGGCCAUAGCAUAGGCCGAGAAGAUGGAGCAAGGCUGGCCACCAUGUGACGCCGACUUCAAAAAAACCAACGAUAUAGUUAGAAAUAAUAUCUAAUCCAGUGUUAUAUACCUAAAUAAAAAGAGGGCGUACCCAUGCUUCUGCAUAUUUGUCGAGGCUGCGGCUGCCUUGGUGGUGCGAGGGACCUUGCAUCAUUAGACGUCAUUCCCGGCUAGCGUUGUGUGCCUCGUCCCACUCAGUCGAGCACCACCUAUCCACCAUCUGCUCCCAGCACAGAGGAUGUGCGGCGCACCAAUAUGGAAUCAUCUACAAAGUAAACACGUAAACUGCAUAUUAGAAGAUAAAAUUAAAUUCAUGCAUGGAGUACUGGUACCAAACAUGAAUGACUUUACAUGCAGGUACUGGUCCCUGGUCAACGACAUGGUUUGGGCUUGCUGCUUGGUCACCUUCUCCCUAAGGACGGACCGUGGUAGCUGACGAUGGCCUGGAUUUGGGCCUCAUAGUGCAUGUCCACGACGAGCUUCUUACAGUUCGUGGUGGCCACCACAUCCGCCCUAGCCUCGUAUCCAGUCUCGCAUCUGUAGUAAUUCUGCAUACAAAAACGAUGUAUCCAUACAUUAUUUCAAGAAUGUGCAAUGAAUGCAACAUAUUUUACAUUACACUAAAACUUACCCACAGCUCUUGCUUCACCCACUCCGGCUUGUUUUUGAAUUCUCGACCGUCCCGGUCUACUGCAUUGGGUGCGAUGGCGUAGUGGUCGAAGGUGUAGGCUGGGCCCAUCACUCCGGCGUACUCAACCAGUCUAGGGAAGUGUUCCCUGCAUAGCAGGCUGAGGAUGCCAUUGGGGUUGUGACGAUGACCCCCAGCAUUCUCCACAACCGCCCAAGACCUGUCCAAGUGAUAAAUAAAAAGUAUUAGUUUAUAUUAUGAUUUUGAACACAUAAUAUGAACAAGAAUGAAGAACAUAAAGUUUCAUGCCUCUCCCCAUCUGGCCGAAUCAGUGGCCGCCUGUCCCGAAGUUUUGACGCUGAGGGAGACUCACGGGACCUCGCAGGUAGACGCUCCUCGAGCCUCAGGUGCAAGAACCUGAGGCGUCCUGCUGAGCUUCGUCGUCGUCCUGCUGCUGGUCGUGGUCGUCCUGCUGCGCCGCCUGGUGCUGGACAAGGUCGUCCUGCUGCGCCGCCUGUUGUGCCUCGUCCUGCUCUGCCUCGUCCGUCGUCCUGCUCCUCCUCCCCCUCCGCCUCCUCAGCCAACCGCCCACCAUCUUUGUCCAACAACCUGCAAUUAAGAGUAAACAAAUAAGCACAUAUAAAAAGAUGUAUUUAAAAAUAGGUGCGAAAUAAAAAGUCAUAUAGCAUUAAAUCGAUUAAAAAUAAUCUUCAUAUGUGUCGGGGUUAGCCGGAUCAUAACUCUCAUCAUCACUAUCAACCACUUCAUAGCCAACACCAUCUGAAGGCGCAAGUUCGUCAUUAAUGUCAUUGCCUUCAAGGAUUACUAAGUCAUUCUUAUUUUGCACCUCAUCCUCCUCCUCAUCAACAACCAUUUCAAUAUCUACGUCUAUUCCGAUAGCUUCGGUUAAGUCUAUCUCAAAUUGCCCUUCUAGCCCAUCUUCUUGGAAGAACUCUCCAUCAUAUGUGUCCGAGUCUAAGUUAUAAUCUUCAUCGUUAGGAACAAGUAAUCUCCCAUGCGGUGAUACCUUAUACACAACAUCCCAACCCUUAAGAUGUUCUUUCGUUUGACACGCAUAUGGGAGAUAAUACACUUGUGUGGCCUAUUGGGCCACGAUAUAGACAUCGUCUCCUGGUAAGGUGGAAUCUUGUCGAAUUUCGACUAUCCCAAGAUUAGAAUGUGUCCGUCUCGUCACUUGAGGGUCAAACCAAUGACAUUUGAAUAUCACUGGAGUAAGAGGUUUGGAACCAUAAAAAUUAAGUUCAUAUAUUUCUUCGAUUCGUCCAAAAUAAUCGACAUCAUCAAGGCCGGGCGUAAAGACUCCAGAACACGUUGUUUUCCGAUUGGGCCGACUUUGGUUGUAGUUUGUUGUGCGAAAACGGUAUCCAUUGACGUCAUACCCAGAAUAUUUCUUGACCCUAUAAGCAAAGCCGUUGGCUACUUGUCUCAACUCGGCACUCAUAGACGGAUCUCUUUGGCCCUGCAAGUAUUCGCAAGUUAAAAGACACUAAAUUGAGUUCAUAGACGGAUCUCUUUGACAAACUAAGCACGUACCUUACGUUUGAACCAGGAAAUGAAAUCGAGCAAUCCAUUUCUCGCACCCUUUCUAAGAAGAGUAUCAUAUUCCUGUGGAGUUAGGUCCCUUGAUCGACGCCAGAAUUCAUGAAGAAAUUGUUCCAUGUAUGGCGUCACCUCUUCAAGGUUGGUCAAUACAUAUAGCAUGAUAUACCGCCACUCUUCAUGUGUCAGGGUCUUGGUGGUCGAGCCACUUGCGCUUUCGAGUUGGCCUCGAAAUAUGCUGAGGUUCGAUUCAUUAUCACCAUCAUUGUAACGAGGGGGUGGGUUAUGCACGCUUGGUAGUUUGUCACCAUAGUAAGUUGUUGUGAAGUUUGACACCUCCUCUUGAAUGUAUGCCUCUGCAAUGGAAGCCUCGAUUUUGCAUUUAUUUCUACAUUUCUUUUGAAUAGUCUUUAGACAUCUCUCGAUUUGAUAGCACCAACGUCCCUGCACGUGCCCCCCAUUCGUGCCUCAUAGGGGAGAUGAAGAAUCAAAUGCUGCAUUGGAUUGAAGAAGUCGGGGUGGAAAUAUAUUCUCAAGCUUACACAGUAACACGGGUGCCAAUCUUUCCAAGUCUGCAACCAUAGUCCGAGAUAACUCUUUUGCACAAAGCUGAUGGAAGAAAUAGCUCAACUCUGAAAGCGCUAGCCAGACAUGCUCAGGGACAUAACCUCGAACCAUCACAGGAAGAAUCCGUUCAAUCCAUAUGUGGAAGUCAUGACUCUUCAUCCCUAAGACUCGCAGAGUAGAUAAGUUCACCCCCUACCCAGGUUAGCUACAUACCCAUCAAGGAACAUCAACAUCUUGAUCCACUGAAGUACUUCCUUCCUCUGGGCCCUGCUUAGGACAAAAUUGGCCUUAGGCCUUCUCCAUGUCUUUCCACCACUUGGCGGCUUCAUCUCUUGGUUUGGUCUAUCACAUAACGCUGCCAGAUCCACUCUUGCCUUUAUGUUAUCCUUUGACUUAUCAGGAAUGUCCAUAAUUGUUGCCCAAAGUGCCUCGGCAACAUUCUUUUUAGUGUGCAUCGCGUCAAUGUUGUGUGGAAGGAGCAGGUCGUCAUAAUAGGGGAGCCGAGUCAAGCCCGACUUAUGUGUCCACAUAUGCUGCUCACCAUAUCCCAUAAAACCACCUUCUGUAUUGGCCACGAGCCCAUCUAUCUGUUGAUGAAUUUUGGCACCAGUGAUCGUUGCAGGUGGGCGGUCUGUCACUACGACACCUUUCGUAAAGUUCUUGAUGUCUAGGCGGAAUGGAUGGUCAGGAGGGAGAAAUUGUCGAUGUUUAUCGAAGGACGAAUAUUUGCCACCCUUUUUCAACCAAAUGAACCUUAGAGCUUCCUUGCAAACUGGGCAUGGGAACUUACCAUGAACACACUAGGCGCAGAAUAGCCCAUACGCCGGUAAGUCAUGCAUAGAGUACUGGUACCAAACAUGCAUUCUGAAGUUUGUCUUCGUGGCUCGGUCAUACGUCCAUACCCCUUCCUCCCAGGCACGUACCAAUUCAUCGAUCAAAGGCUCCAUGUACACGCCCAUUUUAUUCCCCGGGUGUCCGGGAAUUAUCAACGACACGAAUAUAUUCUGCCUUUGAAAGGACACACCGGGGGGAGAUUGAUUGGGAUAACAAACACGAGCCAACAUGUGUACGGGCAGCGCUCAUUCCAUAGGGAUUGAACCCAUCUGUGGCCAGCGCAACACGUACAUUACGAGCCUCUUCGGCUUUCUCACGGUGAAUGGCAUCAAAGCGUUUCCAUGCUUCACCAUCGGAUGCGUGCACCAUCUUGUCAGGAUUGUAUCGUUUUCCAUUUUUGUGCCAUGUCAUCUGUUUCGCGGAUUCCUCGGUCAUGUAUAGACGCUGGAUCUGCGGUAUGAACGGAAGAUGCCGUAGGAUUGUCAAGGGGAUGUCGAGCUGCCUCUUCUGUCCAUCACCAGAGUCUAGCUCCAUGAACAUAGACGAUUUACACUUGGGAUAGUACUUUGCCUUCGCGUAUUCUUUCUUAAAUAGCACGCAGCCCUUCAGACAAGCAUGUAUCUGCUCAUACGUCAUCUUGAGUGCACGAAGGAGUUUAUGUGCCUCGUACAUGCUCUUUGGCAGAACGUGAUCCUUCGGAAGCAGGCUCCCAAUAACCGUUAACAAGCCAUCGAAUGCGUCUCGACUCAUGUUGUACUACGACUUGAACGCCAUUACACACCCAAUGGCAUCCAGUUGAGAAACCUUUGUCUGGCCGUGAAGGAGCUUUUGUGCCACGUCAAACAUGUCAUAGAAUGCCUUUGCAGUCGGCUCUGGCUCGUCAUCCGUACAUCCACCGACGUACUGUGCCUCCUAAUAGUCGUUCAACAUAUCCGCUACCCUCACAUCGGCAUCAUAAUCCUCGACGCGUUGUCUCAGCACCUCCUCUCUCGUACGAUGCACUUCACCAUGAAAGAUACACCGAGUAUAGUCCGGCAUAAAUCCAUUCUUCUAAAUAUGUUCUACCAUGGCCUUCAUUGAUUUUCUCUUCUGUUUGGCACAUUUGCUGCACAGGCAUGGGACUAGACUCGCUCCUUUAGCAGCUUCGCCAUAUGCCCGUUCCACGAAAUCAUCGGUCUUUCUAAUCCAUUCAGGGGUGACAUCGUUCCUUCCUCUACGGCCCAUGUACAUCCACUCACGGUCCUCCAUCCUCUAACAGAAGCCUAUCAAUAGAAAAUUUUGGCAACACCUCCGCUGCACGGGGAGGUUUCGAAAUCCUACAUAUAAAAGUAUCAGCACGAUGGCUGACAUCCAUGUAUAAUUCAACGGCACGAUGGCCGACAAUCACAUCUAUAUAUAUUCAAUCCAUGAGAGAUAACACAACAAAACUGCAUUUACAUGGAAACUACAUUUACAUGAUUUACAUAUUUCAUUCACAAAUUCUCAAUGAGACUAUAGCCUAACUUACAUGAUUUACAUCCUAUCAUUCACAGAUUUACAUUAUUUACAUCCUAUCAUUCACAAAUUUACAUGAUUUACAUCCUAUCAUCUAAUCAAUAAUAAAUACAAAGUGACACGUAAUAAAUACAAAUCUAAAUCAUGAACAAAUUCAUACCUAGUGGAGAUCGUCGAGGACGGGCGUGAGUCGCGUGGGGGCGGCGGUUGGGCCGCGCGGGUUAGGGCGGUGCGGGUCAGGGCGGUGCCGGCGGGGGGUGGUGCGCGUGGCGGUGCCAGCGGGGAGCCGGCGAGGGGUGGUGCGUGUGGCGGGGCCAGGCGGCGGUGGUGGCUGGGCGGGGAGGCGGGGCGUGGGGAGGCGGGCUCCGACGGCAGAGGCAGUGGGCGCGGGGAGGCGCGGCGGUGGUGGCCGGGUCAUGGGGAGGCAGCGGUGGGGAGGCGGGGCGUGGGGAGGCGCGGUCGUAGGGAGGCGGUGACAGGUGAGGAUGGGCGGGUCGCCGGUGGGGAGGCGGCGGCGGUGAGGACGGGUGAGUGAGAGUGAAAGAGGAGAAGGAGAGGCUGCAGACGGUUAAGUGUCGCUUCUUUGCCGAGUGCCCGCGAUCUGGCACUCGGUAAAGAUUUUUUUAAUUUAAAAAAAUACUUUGCCGAGUGCCUACUGACAGGUACUCGGCAAAGACUGGAUUUAGGGUUUUUGUCGGGUGUCCCACGGCUAUUACUCGGCACAGACGUCUUUGCCGAGUGUCAUCACUAGACACUCGGCAAAGUAUAUUUUUAUUUUUUUAAGUUUCCUUACCAAACUUUUUCUGGUAUGUUCCUACACUAUGUAGACCUACAUGUACCAUUUUGGCACAUUUAUAAAAGUGUUUCCUAUAACUAUUGGAUUUAGUUCGUUUAAUGGAAUUUUCUUCGAUAAUUUAGAUUUGAACUGCAAGUUACUCGAAACUUGGAAAACCGUGUAUGAAAAAAUGAUAUUCAUGCUAUUUAGCACAAGUUAUGACCGAUUUCAAGAGCGGACCAGAAACUUCGAGCACCAAGCUCACUAAACAUGGUCGUGAACUUGCCAUCCAGUUGUUUCAAAAUUGUAUAAGACACAAACAAAGUCAGAAAAUCAUGAAACUUGUCCACAUGUCAUUAUAUCAUAUAUAGAGGCUGUGAUAAAAAUUUGAGAAUGUUUCGAAAAAGUUGUGAGACGGUAUGUGUAUGAACCUAAGAGAAGUACACAUGAAAUCACAGAGUUUCAAUGUACUUCUCUUAGGUUUAUACACAUACUUUCUCACAACUUUCUCGAAACAUUCUCAAAUUUUUAUCACAACCUCUAAAUAUGAUAUCAUGAAAUGUGGACAAGUUUUAUGAUUUUCUGACUUUGUUUGUGUUUUAUACAAUUUUGAAACAGUUGAAUGGCAAGUUCAUGACCAUGUUUAGUGAGCUUGGUUCUCGAAGUUUCCGGUCCGCUCCUGAAAUUGGUCGUAACUUAUGCUAAAUAGCAUGAAUAUCAUUUGUGCAUGCACGAUUUUCCAAGUUUUGAGUGACUUGCAGUUCAAAUCUGAAUUAUCGAAGAAAAUUCCAUUAAACGAACUAAAUCCAAUAGUUAUAGGAAACACUUUUAUAAUUGUGCCAAAAUGGUACAUGUAGGUCUACAUAGUGUAGGAAUAUACCACAAAAAGUUUGGUAAGAAAACUUAAAAAAAUAAAAAUAUACUUUGCCGAGUGUCUAUGGAUGACUCUCGGCAAAGACGUCUGUGACGAGUGUCAGCCGUGGGACACUCGGCAAAGAAGCUUCUUUGCCGAGUGUCAACGCCCGACGCUCGGCAAAAUCUAACGGCCGUCAGUUAUAGACGGCUGCUGACGGCCUUUUGCCGAGGGCCGCCUUCGCCGAGAGUUUAGCACUCGGCAAAGAUAGCUUUGCUGAGUGUAGUUUUUUUCCGUGAGUCCUGCUCUCGGCAAACACGUUCGUUACCGAGAGCUAGACUGUGUCGAGUGCCCGACAAAAAGCACUCGGCCAAGGGCCAAGCACUCGGCAAAGCCACAGAUUCCGGUAGUGUAUAUAUACUCUAAUCGUAGCGUUAGCAUGGGAUAUAUGCCAGUGACAACAACAACAUUAGUAAUAAUAAGAUCCUAAGACAAUUAAAGAAUAUAUAAGUUUUUUUAGUUCUUUAUAUAUUUCUAAUUGGCGUAACCAAUAGUUACGUUUCUUAUGUUAAAAACUAUACACCCUAGAAAUAUCUAUUGGUAUUCCUAAACUUCGCAUGAAUCACUACUACAGAAUGAAAUAUCUAUACCAGUUGAGAAUUGGUCACGGUACCGAAUUUCCAACCGGUACUUGUCAUUUAGAAUUAAAGACCUCAGUUUUUAAUACCGGUUGUAUGAACCCGUACUAAAGUUGAAACUUUGGUACCGGUUCUUGGCAUGAACCGAUACUAAAGAUGUAACUUUUAGUACCGCUUCAUGCCAAGAAUCGGUACUAAAUGUUACAUCUUUAGUACCGGUUAGAACUGUUACUAAAAUAUUAAUGGACUUUUUAUUAUAUGCUUACGCACAUUAAAAUGGUUGUGUACAUUAAUUUAUUUAUAUAUAUACAUAUGUAAAUGUGUAGAUUCAUAUAUACAUGUGUAGAAUCAAUAAUAUAUACAUUAAUAUUCAUGUGUAGAUUCAAAUAUACAAAUGGAUAUUUAUAUUAACAGUAAUACAUACAAAUGCCUAUGAAGUUUCCUAACUUCUAAAAAUAUCUCUAUUUCUAUGUUCUUAAUAUGAAUCUUCUUUAUCUUCUGCAUGUUGAAGAUUUUGUCGAUCAUAAUAGAACUCUCCUUCUUUGGAUACGACAUCUCUAUUUAUAAAAGCAUAUAAGUUGUUAUUGAAUUGCUUCUAUCCUAUCCAUAGUGAAUACUUUUUCCUUCAUCUUUAUUAUCUGUCAUUUGCCAAUAACAUUGAUAAAAAGUGUUAUUGUAUUAAAUUGAAAGCUGGUAUACUUUAUUGAUAUGAAAUUAACAUCAACACUGUAGAAAAUGUUGAUGUACCUCGAUAUUUUUGGCCACUGACUUGUUACCUAUGAAUGUCUGAAUAAAUUCACAAAUGUAGUAACCAUAGAGGUGGUUUCCUUUUUCCUAUAUCAAACACUAAAAUCGAGAAACAAGUAAUGAAUUAUUAUUAGCAAAUAACUUGAGGGAUCGGAAAGCUACAAACGUACAUGAAAGUUUGACCUAAUCUAAAGAGUUUCUUUUAGGCUGACAUGCUUUUUCAUAGCCAACUCAUGCACUGCAUAAUGAAAAUUACAAGUCUUUGGUACAUGCAUGAUUCAAUUAUUUAGAGGUUUAUAGAGUUAGGUUUGAAUGGUAAGAAUUACUCUUUAAGAAGGUAUAUUAUUUCUUUUAAGUCAUCGACUUGCUUCCUCAAGGAGUCAAGGAUAAAUAUAAUACCUUCUUCCAUUAAGAUCACCAAAAGUACCCAUUGAAAGUUGUAGGAAAGUUACAAAAAGGUAGAACAAAUUAGAAAUACACAUUUAGUCUAAAAAGGUAUGGGUACAAAAAGAUAAUGGACACUAACUUAAAAUUAUAUGGAAUUAGUAUACAUUACAUAUAGUGUUGCUUUGUGAAGGAACUUGUGCGGUCUUUGUAGGAUAGCCGACCGAUAUCCCUAAUUGUUAUUUGGUUUAUGUGCACUAGGUCCAUGAAGUCAAUAUUGAAAAUCCCUUCUUUACAACAUCGUUGGAUGUCCAUGCUUUAGAAAACAUAGUAGGUGUAAGAGAACUUCAGUUAGCAUUGAAUAUAUAUUAUUCAGUAGUGGACAAGAGAGAAGGUAAAUACUUAUAGAACUCAGGUGCUGGGUCUAACGCAUUCCACCGGUAUAUAUCAAAUAUAUUGUUAAAAUCGAGCCACAUCACAUCAACAUUGUUGAAGUAGUGGUCUUGUAUAAACACACAAAAGGUGACCCUAUCAGCGGUUGAAUCCUUCAAAUAUCAACUGUCUUGGAAUCUGUUCAAUUGUGUUGUAAGUUCGGAACCUCUUCUAGAGUAUAGGCCGACCUUGCUUGAAUUGCCAUGCAAACUAAUGUGAUGGCAUAUUUUCUUUGUGUAUUUUUUCUUUUCUUUUUCAAGCAUGUGCCCAUAGUUUUGUACCAUCUAGAAUACAAGAUUACCACUUCAGUGAAUUGGCUUGGCACGAUGGUAUACUUGCCCAUUCCAAUGCUUAGCUUUUCUUCUUAAUGGGUGUUUAGCCACAAGAAAUCAACGAUGGGUUGUAUAAACAAUUUUUCUAUAGUGACGUAGAUACAAGCAUCUGUCUCAUCUAAACAAUGGGUGCAGACAUUGAAUCCAUUAUCCUAAUAGAUUUGAAUGUGCAGGCCAAUUGUUGAUGGUUAUGAAUAACAAAGCACAUCAUUAAAAGCCUUCUUGUGCUCGUCCCACAUACAACACCUUUGGACCACAAUUGUAAAAAGCUCAUCCACCAAUGGUUUUAGGUACGCAUCAAUGUUGUUAAUAGAUUGUUUUGGCCCUUCAAUAAGCAGCAGCAUCAUUAUGAACUUUUGCUUUAUACAUAGCCAGGGUAUACAUAUAUAGAGUCACAUGCUGAGGAUAUGACCACUGCCCUACUCGCUGAAAGGGUUCAUGCCAUCGGUGGUUAAACCAAACCUUACAUUUUUUGCAUCCUCUACAAACUCUAAGAAUGUUCUAUUAACUUUACACCAAUGUGAACCAUUACUCUCUUCUUUGUGCAACCACAUUAUCUUGGUGUGCUCUUUGUUACGAAACAAAUGUUUCAAUCGUGGUAUUAUAGGGAAGUACUGUUGGUCACUUGUUUUCAAUUGCUAUGAAUCAAAAACAAGGCAACACACACAUGUUAAACGUUAAGGACCUUCAUCCUUCGAAGCAUUAUCCUCUUUCAGAGAUAAUGACUCUUGUACGAAGGUCAUGAAGAAUGAGUCUUUAUUUUUCAUAAGUAUAAUAUUACAAUGUAACAUUAUAACAAUUACUUAUUUCAUCUCGCAUGCCAGGAUGAUGUUAAGGUAUGUAUUAUAUAUAUUAAUAAAGUGGUACAAAUUAUAUAUUACAUUUGUACCUUCGGCUUGCUCGAAAGAGAGAAUGCGAGUACAACUUUUCAAUCCAACGUGAAUAGUACGGGGUAAUAUUCAUCUAUUUAUAGGCAAGGGACGCAGCCCAAGCAGAAGUACAAUUAUGACCCUGAUAUCUACACAUUGCUCUAAUACAAAUAUCAAGGAUAAACAAGUCUUUUCCUUGCUGGCUUGGUGUCAUGUAUGACCUUCGUGACCAUCUUAAGUCGAAGCUCCAAUUCUUGUCGAAGCUUCGCUACAUUUUAUGCAUGUUUGUUGCAUCUUUGGCACUUAGUUCCUUUGAUUACAAAUAGUUUCUUCAUCCUAAGGACCUUCAGCAUAGAAGGAGACCCCCAAUAGUAGCCCCUUCGUGGUGCUAGGUCGUUUUUUUCAUAACGAGCUUGAUUCGCGAAACACACGAAGGCUUUUGAAUGCCGAAGGUCCAAAAACACCUUCUCAGUUAGUAUGAGCGGCGCGGCAGUAUGCCUUCUUCACAUGCAAGGCUAUAUAAAUAGGUUGGUUGGUAAGAAGUUAUUACAUCAUUCCUUGCUUUUGCACUGUUGUUGUUGGGGGUAUUCUUCUCCGCCGAAGGUCCUCAAGGAAAAAACACCUUCGACAAAAUGAUACAAAGGUUUGCCGAAGUCACCUUCAGCCUUGAUUUAGCUCCUCAAGACGAAGACUCUGUAUAGAGGCAACAAUGCAAGAUGUCGAAGGUCAAUGGCCUCAACCCAGAUCAAGCAAGGAAGAAAAAAGGACCAGAUAGGCCUUAUUGGUUUUAGUUACAUGUAAACAAGAGUUCAGGGGCAUGAAUGUAAUUUUAUCCGGACUGCGUCCCGUGACUAUAAAUAGAUGAAUAAUACCCCCGUACUGUUCACGCUGGAUUGUAAUCACUCUCGCGCCAUUUUCGCUCUCUUACCUUCUGGCAAGCCGAAGGUGUCAAUAUAAUAUGAAUAUUGUUUAUGUUUAUUCAUGUUUAUGGAAUAUAAUAAUAAAUGAAUAGUUGAUACAUAACAAUUAUUAUCUUCAUUUUUAUAUUCCUUCACUUGCUUAUUUGUAUUCAUGUUUAUAUGUUGAAAUGAUGAAGGUGUGUCCUUCAUGACCUUCGUCUGAAGACCAUUAUAUCUGAGAGGAAAUAAUGCUUCGAAGGACGAAGGUCUUUAACUAUUGACAAUUGUGUUGCCUUGUUCUUGAUUUAUAGUAUUCGAGAACAAGUGACCAACAUUGGCGCCCACCUCCGGUGAACUCACUUCCGCAACUGCGACAAUGGCUUCGCAAGGCAACCAAGCUGCGCCACCUUCGACUACGAAGCUGGCGCUCCCAAUCACAGGCGGCUCAAGUUCUGAACCAGCCAACAAGAAACAGAAGAAGGAAGCACAGAGAAGGGUACAACAUGUUGAUGUGCAAGGACCCUUCAUCAGGUCCAAAUGGUCUCACAUACCAAUUACCUUCUCUCAGGAAGACCUUCAGCUUUAAGAUUAUCCUCACAACGAUGCAAUGGUCAUAUCUUGUGUCAUCAAGGGAUUUUUGGUCCAUAAUGUCCUGGUGGUCACAGGCAAUGCAGCGAACAUCAUUUUCAUGAAGGCUUUCAAGCAAAUGCAAGAGCCGGAUGACAAGAUACAUGAUGCAACACCCCCCUUUGUGGUUUCGGAGGAAGACAGAUUGUAGCGCUCGGCAAGAUAACCAUGUCAGUUACCUUCGGCUACGUUCACCACACAAGGACAGAACAGGUUGUCUUCGACAUUGUUGAUAUGGAAUAUCCAUAGAAUGCAAUCAUUGGUCGAGGGACACUCAAUGCCUUCGAAUCAAUACUUCAUCCAGCAUAUCUUUGCAUGAAGAUACAUUCGGAACAAGGCCCCAUUGUUGUACAUGAGAGUCAAGAAGCUGCUAGGAGAGCCGAAGUAAGUUGGACGGAUUCGAAGGCCAUCCAUAAUAUAGAUGAGGCCGAAGCUCAUCAGCAAUAUAAGCAUAAAAGAGAAAAGGCUGCUUCGGCAGAUCAACCAAAGUCCAUGCUUUUGUGUGAAGACAUAGCUGAGCAAAAGGUGCUAUUGGGAUCUCAAUUAUCUGAUGAGCAAGAGAAGACCUUGCUAAGAUUUUUGUUUAAUAAUAAAGAUGUUUUUGCUUGGUCAGCUAAUGAUAUCUGUGGUGUCAAUAGAGAUAUUAUUGAGCACUCGCUCAACGUAGACCCGUCCUUCAGACCAAGAAAACAGAGGCUUCGGAAAAUGUCCGAUGAUAAAGCCGAAGGUGCACGAAACGAAGUGAAAAGACUUCUAAGUGCCGGCAUUAUCAGAGAAGUGACAUACCCAGAGUGGCUGGCCAAUACCGUCAUGGUAAAGAAAGCAAACAGAAAAUGGAGAAUGUGUAUUGACUUUACAGAUCUCAAUAAGGCAUGCACGAAGGAUGAAUUCCCACUUCCAAGAAUAUAUUCCCUUUGCAAGUAUCUUCAUCCUCUGCUGAAGCUAGAGUUAUUGCUUCAUCGCCAAAUAGAAGUUUAAACGGAGUGAAACCCGUUGAUCUUGAAACCACAUUAUUGUGAUUCCACACCAGCUUUACUAAUUCAUCUGGACACUUUCUCUUUGGCAGAUUAAAGAUUGACCUCAUUAUUCCUUUGAUAAUGAUUCCAUUUGAUCGCUCUACUAAGUCGUUGGACUCUGGAUGUCUUACCAAUGCGAAAUGUAUCUUUGUUCUAAUUUGAUCACAGAAAGUUUUAAAUCUUCGGAGCGAAACUGUGCUCCAUUAUCAACUGUGAUGGCCUUCGGCACCCCAAACCGGCAGAUGAUAUUUUUCCAGAAAAGUUUCUAGAUUGUGGCUGAUGUUAUUAUAGCUAGUGGUUUAGCUUCGAUCCAUUUUGAGAAAUACUCCACUGCUACUACAACAUAUCUCAUAUUUCCUUGGGCUGGUGGAAGUGGUCCUAAUAAAUCUAAUCCCCAUCUCUGUAAUGGCUAAGUGGGCUGAAUUAGUUGUGUUAGAGAUGAAGGUUGCUUUUGAUCCCUGGCACACUCCUGACAAUUCUCACAUUUUUGCACUAGGUCUGCUGCAUCCAAAGCAGCCUUCGGCUAAUAGAAACCUUGUCUAAAUACCUUGCCUAAGAGUGGCCUGAAUCCAAUAUGUGCUUCACAUAUUCCUGAUUGUAUUUCUUUCAUCAACUCUUGACCUGCGACUUUGGAUAAACAUUUCAGCAAUGGGGAGCAGACCCCUUGUUUAAAAAAUUCCCCUUCUAUAAUCAUAUAUGGUCUUGUUCUGGCCUGCAUCCUUUUUAUGUAAACCUCAUCAUCCGAAGGGUGAUUGCCCUGGAGGAAGGAUAUAAUUUCUGUUCUCCAAUCUUUGCUAUGCGCAGGCGAUAUUGUGAGUACAACCCUUUCCAUGAGCUCAAAUGAAGGUGCUUUGAGAGUUUCGAAGAACACUUCUGGGGGGAGCGGGAGCCCCUGUGUUGCUGAUUUAGCUAACAAGUCUGCUUGUUCAUUAUCCCCUCUUGGGAUAUUUUUACUGAAAAUCCUUUGAAGGAGGCUUCCAUCCUUCGGACUGUGUCAAGAUAUUUUUCGAGUUUUGGGUCCUUUACCUUGCUGCUUUUGUCAACAUGACCUGUAAUUACUUGGGAGUCAGAUUUGAGUAUUGCUCUUCUUAUUCCCACGGUUUUAAGCUUUUGAAGCCCUAAUAGCACUGCUUCAUAUUCUGCAAUGUUGUUUGUGCACUUGAAUUCCAGCCUAGCAGCAUAGCAGAUUCUUAUUUUUAAUGGUGAAAUCAAAACAAUUAUUGCGCCUGCGCUGAAGGUUCCGCAUGAGCCAUCAUAGAACACUGUCCAAGCUUCUUCAUCUAUCAAGUGUCCUUCUUUGUGAGCCCCUGGCAUUCAAUCAGUAAUGAAGUCUGCUAGUGCUUGAGAUUGAAUCGAAGAUCGGUGGACAAAGUCAAUAGUGAAUUCAUUUAGCUCUGUGGCCCAUUUGCCAACCCUUCAUGUGCUUCUCUAUUUCUUAUGAUGUCUUUCAAGGGUUGGGACAAAGGUACUAUUAUAUGAUAAGAUUGAAAAUAAUGUCUGUUGGGGGUCUGCUUCGUCGCCGAAGGUCCCAUAAGAAGAAACACCUUCGGAAGAAUGACACAAAGCCGAAGCUAUUAAUCAGAGAGCUUCGGAGUACAUUUCCAAAUGCACCGACUUAAAGAUGAAAUGACCAAUCGACCCGUGAUGACUUGUAUUAUGAUUGUAAACCUUUGUAAAGGGCAUGAAUGUAAUUUCUCACAGGCUGCGUCCUGUGCCUAUAAAUAGGUGAACAGUACCCCUGUACUGUUCAUGCGAUCUUGUAUUCGCUCGUGCGCAACGCUUGGAUUUUUUGCCUUCUAUCAAACCGAAGGUAUAAAUGUGAUUAAAUAUUGUAUUUAAAUACUUGAAUUCAUGUAAUGAAGAUAUGUGAAUAAUGCUAUAUGAUUGUUCAUGUUAUCUUUCAUGUUUCAUAUGCUUUGUCUUUCAUUACCACUUAUCAUGAUGAUGAAGGUACGUCCUUCAUGACCUUCGUCCGAAGAUCGUUAUAUCCUAAGGGAAAUAAUGCUUCCAAGGACGAAGGAUAUUAACCUUUAACGCUGUGUUGCCUUGUUCUUGAUUCAUAGCAUUUGAGAACAAGUCCCCAACAUUGGCUCCCACCUCCGGUGAACUCACUUCCACUGAUUGAGCUGAUGGCUUCGUUCAACAAUGAAGCUGAAGUAGCUUCGGCUAUGAAGAUGGUGCUCCCGAUAACAGGCGGUUCAUGUUCAGAACCGGCCAACAAGAAGCAGAAGAAAGAGGCUCAGAGAAGGGUGCAGCAUGUUGGGGUGCAGGGACCCUUCAUCAAGUCAAAAUGGUCCCACAUCCCAAUCACCUUCUCCCAGGAGGACCUUCAGCUCAAGGAUUACUCUCACAAUGAUGCUAUGGUUAUAUCUUGUGUCAUCAAGGGAUUUCUAGUCCAUAAUGUUCUGGUUGACACAGGCAGUGCAGCAGAUAUCAUAUUUGCUAAGGCCUUCAGACAGAUGCAAGAGCCAGAGGACAAGAUUCAUGAUGCUACACACCCUCUUUGUGGCUUCGGAGGAAGGCAGAUCGUAGCACUUGGCAAGAUCACAAUGCCAGUGACCUUCAGAUUUGUCCAUAACACAAGGACUGAACAGGUUGUGUUUGAUAUUGUUGACAUGGAAUACCCCUACAAUGCAAUUAUUGGACGUGGGACACUUAAUGCUUUCGAAGCAAUUCUUCAUCCAGCAUACCUAUGCAUGAAGAUACCUUCGGAACAAGGGUCUAUUGCAUUUCAUGGAAGUUAGGAAGCUGCCAGGAAGGCUGAGGGAAAUUGGACAGACUCAAAAGAUUCAACAACAAAUAUGUUUUUGCAUGGUCGGCCAAUGAUCUCUAUGGUGUCAACAGGGAUGUCAUUGAACAUUCACUCAAUAUUGAUCCAUCCUUCAGGCCCAGGAAGCAAAGGCUUCGGAAAAUGUCUGAUGAUAAAGCCGAAGGUGCUCGGAAUGAAGUAAAAAGACUUCUCAGUGCUGGUGUCAUGAGAGAAGUAAAAUAUCCAGAGUGGCUAGCCAAUACUGUUAUGGUGAAGAAGGCUAAUGGCAAAUGGAGAAUGUGUAUUGAUUUCACAGAUCUCAAAAAGGCCUAUCCGAAGGACAAAUUUCCAUUACGAAGGAUACUCUCUUGUGGAUGCAGCAGCUUCUUCAGAACUUAUGAGUCUUCUGGAUUGCUACUCAAGAUAUCAUCAAAUAUGGAUGAAGAAGGAGGAUGAGCCGAAGACUAGCUUCAUAACUCCCAGUGGAACCUAUUGCUAUCUUCGGAUGCCUGAGGGGCUCAAAAAUGUUGGAGACAGUUUCAGCAGGAUGACGGCCAAGGUCCUUAAUUCCCAGAUAGGCAGAAAUGUGCUAACAUACAUUGAUGAUAUCAUAGUAAAAAGCACGAAGCAAGAAAAUCGUAUCACUGAUCUGCAAGAAACAUUUGCUAAUUUCAGACAAGCUGGCCUGAAAUUAAAUCCUGAAAAAUGUGUCUUUGGAGUGAAGAAGGGCAAGUUCGUUGGCUGUCUGGUUUCGACGAAGGGGAUUGAAGCUAACCCAAGCAAGAUCGAAGCUAUCCUUCGAAUGGAACCACCGAGCAGAAAGAAGGGGGCCCAACGGUUGGCAGGAAGAUUGGCUUCAUUGAAUAGAUUUAUAUCUAGAUCAGCAGAAAGAAACUUGCCAUUCUUUGUAAUACUAAAGUCAGCCGAAGUCUUUCAAUGGGGCCCAGCUCAGCAGAAAGCCUUCGAAGAGCUGAAGCAAUACUUGAUUGAUAUAACAACAUUAACUCCACCCGCGCCAGGGGCUCCGUUACUAUUAUAUGUGGCAGCUUCGCACUCUGCAAUGAGUGCGGUGCUUGUGCAGGAGAAAUUAGAAGGACAAAUCAAAAAGCAAGCCCCAGUAUACUUUGUCUCCGAAGUUUUAAGCUUCUCAACGAAAAAUUAUACAGAAUUGGAGAAGGUGUUGUAUGCUGUCUUAAUGGCCUCUAGGAAGCUUCGACAUUAUUUUCAAGCAUUCCAUAUAAUUGUUCCUUCGUCACAGCCUCUGAAGGACAUCAUGAGGAACAGAGAAGCUACUGGAAGGAUUGGAAAGUGGGCUGUGGAACUCAACAAAUUCAGUAUUGAUUAUGUGCAUAGAUCCUCGAUUCAGUCCCAGGCGCUAGCAGACUUCAUCGCUGACUGGAUGCCAGGGGCUCAGGAAGAAGAAGCAAAUAAAGAUGUCGAAGCUUGGACGGUGUUCUGCGACGGUUCUUGGGGAACCUUCGGGGCAGGUGCGGCUGCUGUCUUAGUUGCACCUUCUAAAGUCAGAACAUGCUAUGCAAUAAAGCUUGACUUCAGCUGCACAAAUAAUAUUGCUGAAUACGAAGCUUUGCUUUUGGGGCUUUGGAAGUUAAAAGCAAUGGGGAUAAGAAGGGCGGUCCUUAAAACCGAUUCCCAAGUUAUUUCUGGUCAUGUUGACAAGAGUUGCAGGGCAAGAGACCCGAAGCUUGAGAAAUACCUGGACACAGUUCGAAGGCUUGAAGCUUCUUUCGAAGGGUUUUCUGUCAAGAAUAUUCCACGAGGAGAAAACGAGCACGCUGAUCUGCUAGCCAAGUCAGUGGCACAGGGGCUGCCUCUACCUUCGGAAGUAUUCUUUGAGACAAUAAGAGCACCUUCGGUGGAACUUCUCGAAAGAGCAGUACUCACUAUAUCUCAUGUUCAUAGUGAAGAUUGGAGGACUGAGAUCAUAUAUUUCCUCCAAGGUAACAGCCUUUCAGAUGACGAAGCUUAUAAUAAGAGAAUGGAGGCAAGAACAAGACCAUAUGUAAUAAUAGAAGGAGAGUUAUACAAACAUGGAGUCUGCUCUCCACUUCUUAAGUGCGUAUCCAGAACCGAAGGUAUAGAGCUGAUGAAGGAAAUACAUGCAGGCUUGUGUUGAUCUCACAUUGGAUCUAGACCUUUGUUGGGGAAGGUCUUCAGACAAGGAUUUUAUUGGCCGAAGGCAGCUUCAGAUGCAACGGAUCUGGUUCAAAAAUGCGAAAAUUGUCAAAAAUGUGCAAGAGACCAGAAACAACCUUCGUCGCUAACCCAUUUAAUACAACCAACUUGGCCAUUGCAAAGAUGGGGCCUGGAUUUAUUAGGUCCACUUCCACCAGCACAAGGCAAUUUAAGAUAUGUUGUAGUGGUUGUGGAGUAUUUUUCCAAGUGGAUUGAAGCAAAGCCUUUGGACACAAUAACUUCGGUCACAGUCCAGAAAUUCUUCUGGCAAAACAUUGUUUGUCGCUUCGGCGUACCGAAGGCUAUCACUGUAGAUAAUGGAACAUAGUUCGAUGCCGAAGCUUUCAAGGAAUUCUAUGAUCAGAUUGGCACGAAGAUUCAUUUUGCAUCGGUCAGACACCCAGAGUCAAAUGGACUUGUCGAAAGAGCAAAUGGUAUUAUAAUGACAGGAAUAAUGAAGUUAAUUUUUAAUCAACCCAGAGGAAAGUGGCCAGAAGAGUUGAUUAAAGUGGUGUGGAGCCACAAUACAACUGUAUCAAGAUCAAUAGGUUUUACACCAUUUAAGUUGUUAUUUGGUGACGAAGCUAUAACCCCAGAAGAAGCUAAAGCGGGGUCAAUAAGAACAACAGCUUCGACUGAAGACGAAGCUGAUUAUCAUGUGGCAAAAGACACUAUAGAAGGGGUCAGACUUCAGGCUGUGGAAAAUAUAAAUAAAUAUCAAGCCGAAACAAUAAAAUGGCACGACUGAAAAAUAUCAAGCCAGGGCAUCUGGUGCUUCGAAGAGUGGCUAAUCUGGACACAGUAGGCAAGUUACAGCUGAAGUGGGAAGGACCCUUCCUGGUGGUAUCUUCGUCAAGACCUGGUUCUUACAGAUUGAAGGAUAUGGAUGGCAACGACAUUCCUAGAUCUUGGAAUGCGGAUGAGCUUCGGCGAUAUUAUGUAUAGCAUGAUGUAAUUUUUUCAUUUUUCCUAUGGCACCCUUUUCCUUUCCAAAGGGGGAGAAAGGUUUUUAAUGGGGCCAUAGUUUGUAAAUUUUUCCUUUCUUAUUUAGCUCCAUGAGAGCAAAAUCCCCCAAAAUAUGUAAAUGUAAAAUCUAAGCAUGCACCAUCGAGUGCAAAGAAAAAGAGAAAACAGGGAGAAGCUCGAAAGUCGUCCCUAAGGGGAUGCAGAGCAUGACGAAGCUACAAAAAGCCGUUCCUAAGGGAGCGCAGCGUAAGUUUUCUGCUCAAAAGUCAUUCCUAAGGGAAUGCAGAGCCAAAUACCGCCGAAAUAUAAGGCGAAGCGCGAAAAGUCAACGCGAAUACCGCCGAAAUAGAAAGCGAAGAAGUUCAAAAGACGUUCCUAAGGGGAUGCAGAACUUACACCGAAAAAUAAGCGGUGCAGCCGAAAAAUAAACGACAAAGAGAUUCCAGUCAUUCCUAAGGGAAUGAAGGUUGUCGAUGAAGCUUCGAAUGUGUGUGUUUCGGCAUUCAUUUGCACAAUACAUUACAUCAUACAUUGCAUUCAUAAACAUUCAUUUAGACAUACAUAGGAUCAUCAUCAUAUCAUACAAAUACAGACAGUUGCUUCGAUUCUAAGCAUACAGCUUCAAGAAGCAGAUUCAUGCUUCAUUGUGUACGAAAAGAAGGGAAGGUGUUUUUCGCCUUCGGCUCAAAAAUACAGGUUUCGACCACAUCAAAGCAUUUCAUACAUCGAUGGAAAGGUAAAAAUAUAUUACAAGAUAUGAAUAAAUUUACAGAGUACAAUCUAAUUCUUAAGUUACAAUAUUCUUUACAAGGGUUAAUACAAAAGUUUUCUUAGAAUUUUUUCCACAGCUAGGUAUUCGAGCUUCAUCAUCAUCUGUUGAGCUUCGGAUUGCCUGCUAAGCUUCAGCUCUGUGUUCUUCGGCUUCGUCAUCCUCUACAUAUCAAAACAUUAUAAGGAAAAUUCAAGUUUCAAGGAAAAGGUAAACACAAUGUAUGAUUUUAUUACCGGCUUGAGAUGACUCCGAGCUUCGUCACCAGCUAGGCUUCGUCCAUAUUUGCUUUAUGAAUCUGUUUCCUAUGCUUCGAGCUAGGCUAGGGAUAUCAAUCAGAUCUGCUGGUGAUAAGCUGAAGUUUGGUCUAUUAACAAUUUUCCCAUGCGUGCAACCAGACUUCAUGAAGGCAACAGUUGUGCCCCGAGAAGCUAGCAGGGCACAGAAAUCAUCGUGUCCCGCUAUGACUUCAUCAAGAGCAUCAACUUCGCCCUCAAUGUGUUCGAAGGUCCCGGGCAGGUCUUCAACCGAAGGACUGAAUUUCUCAGAACUGGCUCCAACCGAGUUGAAGACAUGUUUUAGCCGCUGCACGCAUCGGUUGCUGAACUCUAGACAUUUAUCUUGAAGCUCUUUCAAUGAUUUUUGCAAAUUUGAACUUUUUCGACCUCAGCUUCAAGCUUCGUAUCAAAUUUCUGCUUUUCUUGUUCGAAGCUUUCUGAUUUUGAGAGAAGCUCAUUAUCCAACUUUGCAAUUUUGGCUUCAGCUUCUGCCAGUAAGCCUUCCAUUGUCUGAAGUUCGAAAUCUUUCUUUUCAAGAGCAGCUGCCUGAUCUUUUAUUUUGUUUUCUAAACUUUCAAUUAUAACUUCAUGCUUUUUAUCUUCAAGGUCCUGUUGCAUCCUCAAAGCUUUACUCAAUAACAUAAUCUGUACAGAAGCAACCUUCGUUAGUGUCGGUGUUUUGGGUCCGACCGCACACCCGGGGUUGCCCCCUCAAGGUGUUUUUAGGAGUAGGACGGUGUCGACGACUGUAGCAAAAUGGUUCGUGCCGAUCGCACGAGGGACAAUGAACAAGAUUUGCAGGUUCGGGCCGCUUGGAAGUGCGCAACACCCUACGUCCUGGUGAGUAUAUGAGCGUGGUUACAAGAGGAUUCUCUGGAUAGAGGGCGCAGAGAGUUUUUGUGGGUGGCUAAGUAGAAUAGGGUCGAUCGUUCUGAAGGGGUGCCCCCUAGGCCUUAUAUACUCGACCGUGGGGCAGUACAUGUGAUAUGAUAACAACAAGUAGCUAAAAGAUAGUGAACCUCUUGAGUUUAUCCCUGCGUAACCCUCGCCGACUUAUCCUCGCAUGGCUGCGCUGCAUGGGGGCUUCAGCGCGGGAAAGUCGGGUCUCUGUUGCGAUUCAUUCGUUCGACGUUGUGGGCUGUCCGGGUCUCACGUCUUCUCUUCUUUGUUGGUUGUUUUUCCCUAGGCCCACGAAGGAAUGACCUUACGAAUUAUUGGGCCCUUGGGCCUUUCGUGAGGCCUUUUACUUCUUUAGUGGACCCAGGGGAUAUCUAUCCCCCACAAGCCCCCGAUCUUUGGGUUGAUUUAGAGGUAAUCAACCCAAAGAUCCAAGGUCCAAAAAAUGACUUCCUGCUGUCUUCUUUGACUCUGAUCGCUCGUCCGACCAAAGUUUGGUUUUGUGCUUGUGCCUUAGAGGUCGGCAUUUUUGGGUUGUAAGACCCUGGACUUUAUUGGGUGCACCGGAGGUGCACCCAAUGGGUGUAGCCCCCGACCUUCAAAUGGAUUUUUUAAGGAUAAUCCAUUCGAAGGUCUUUCUUUCGUUUGUGGAAACUGGCAUGAGGCUAUUUUGCAUUAUGCUUUAGAGGUCAGCAUUAUGUCAUCAAUAUUUUGUUGCAAAGGUCAGCGUAUAUUUUGUCUUUAGCAGCCGAGUUCGCGAUCCAUCCAUAUCUUGCUAGGUAGUGCAAUUUAUUUGCUUCUGCGAUUGAUUGGACGUCUGACAGACGUUCUCUGUCUAGUCUUCACGUCGUUUCUGUCGGCCAUAUCUUGUACUUUGCUGGUAAUAUUUGGCUUUCCUCUGAUCCUUACUGAUAUCUCAUUUUUGUCUUGAGGUAUUCACUGCAUGCUCUGCACGGAUGUGACCGUUUGAAAAAUGUACUGAUAAUUCCUGGGCGUCCCCCCCAAUGGGUGUGGGCAAGGGACGGCUUGGUACGCUGAGUGUUUUAGCCGGUUGCCUCUGAGUAGUAAUGCGAUGGGACGGCUAGUGUAAUCAUAUCCUUUGCGCUGUUGACUGGAGUCCCAAUGGGUGUAGUGUUGCAUGAAACGGCGUCCGCCGUCUGACGUGUCUUCAGAUGGGUGGAAGUGCUUAUUGGAUGCCUUGCGACUGUUCAGUGGCCGCGGUUAGAAGUGAGCGGUUGCCUUUCCCUUCUAUAAAUAACCCCUUUGCUUUUCUGGUUUCUUCACAUCUCUUCGCUGCUCCUUACUGCCUCUUCCCUUUCUUCUCUCCCAAAGCUUCAGCCAUGGGCAAGAACAACAAGCGCAAGCAUGAGCCGACUCCUCCAUCGGAGGAGUUUGGUGAUUCGGAAUACUCAGAGGAGGAGUUCUCCUCUGAGUCCGAGGGGUCUCCGGCUCCCAUCCCCCUGCGUGAGUCGUCUGACGACUCAGACGACUCCCAGGGGCUUGCGGCGGAGGUCUGGACGUACAUCCGGGCCGUCGAGCGCUCCGGGCUCGAAGGCUCGGAUGAGUCGGAGUACUCCUCGGAUGAGGAGGACUCGGACGGCGGUGACGAGGGUGAAGACGACGACGACGACGACGACGACGACGACGGCGACGGUGACGGCAGCGGCAGUGGCAGGGGCGGCGGCGACGGCGACGGCAGCAGGGACAGCACCUAGGGCGACAGCAGCAGGGGCAGCACCAAGGGCAGCAGCAGGGGCAGCACCAAGGGCGGCGGCGGCAGCAGGGGCAGGGCCAGUGGCUAGACGCCACUGGUCUUCUUAGAUAUUAGUAUAGUUUAGUAUAGCUAGAAUAAUGUAGUAGUAAUUAGUGUAAUUUAGUAGUAGUAGUAAUGUAGAGUAGUAUAUUGUAGUUUAGUAGUAGUAGUAAUGUAGAGUAGUAUAUUGUAGUUUAGUAGUAGUAGUAAUGUAGAGUAGAAUUAGGGAAGUACCAACUCGUGAAGAGUUGGUUUGUAAACUCGUAAACUUCCUUUUAAAUGAAGACUGUCGUUUAUCCCCUCUUUUUGAUGACUUGUCCUUGCUUUUGCCGAAUGUUGAACUGAUUCUUUUGAUAUAGUGGAAACAACGCCGAGCGAUGUGAAGAUUGACAUCAGCGUUUUAGAAGUAACACUGAGCAAUCGAACACAAGACCAGCGUUUUAGAGGCAAUGCCGAAUGAUAGAAGGUCGGCAUCGGCAUUUUAGAAGUAAUGCCAAGCGACAAAAUACGGGGCCGGCAUUUUAGAAAUAACGCCGAGUGAUUGAAUGUCGGCGUCAGCAUUUUAGAAGUAAUGCUGAGCGUUUGAACACGUGGUCGGCGUUUUAGAGGUAACACCGAGUGAUUGAAGAUCGACAUCGGCAUUUUAGAAGUAAUGCCGAGCGAUUGAACACGUGGUCGGCGUUUUAGAGGCAGCGCCGAGUGAUAGAAGGUCGGCAUCGGCAUUUUAGAAGUAAUGCCGAGCGAUUGAACACGUGGUCGGCGUUUUAGAGGCAGCGCCGAGUGAUUGCCCGUUUCUUAAGUUACUUUGAGGAAAAUGACCGAGUGAUGAGGUGGCACAUUGGCUUUCUUGGAAAUAACUGUUGGAUAUCCACGUGGCAUGCUGGGAUUUCGGAGAUGACCGCCGGGUGAUGACUGGGCACUUUUGAAAAGGUAUCUGGCUCAAGAAUAUCCCUUAAGAGUCGCGCUUUUAGCCGCCUUUGCUUUCCGUGCCCUAGUUCUUGCAUUUCCGCAUCUGAAUCUUCUCUGCCACUCGCCUCCCACUCUGUUUCGCCAGCGAGAAGCAAGAUGGCGCCCAAGAGGAAGACUACGAACUCGUCUGCCGCAGUGAUCCCCGCCAUCGACCCCAACAGUCAGUUACCCUUUGCAGGUAACCAUAUGUCUGUAAUUUCUGAAGUUGAGCUUCUCCGCCUUGUCUCCAUCGGGGUUCUCCCUCCACGGGAACUCUGUUCUUGGCGGGCUUGCCGCGGGACUACUGUCCCAACCGAAGAUACCCACGAGUCAGUGGUUUACACUCCUUUCCUUCUUCGCGGCCUCGGCCUUCCCAUAUCUCCUUUUUUCCGUGGCAUCCUUGAUUUUUAUCACAUCAACCUGACUCACUUGAACCCUAACUCCAUUCUCCAAAUCUCUAUUUUCGUUCACCUUUGUGAAGCUUAUCUCGGCGUGCUGCCGCAUUUUGGUUUAUGGAAAUAUCUGUAUCACUGCCGCCCUGGGAUGGCCGGGGGGCAACAUCAGUUGGUCGGAGGUGCAAGUUUAGAGAUGCGCCGUGGGCGGAAGACCGAGUAUCUCGAGAUACCCCUCAAAGACAGCAUUAAAGGUUGGCGUCUGGAGUGGUUUAUAAUGGAUAAUUAUGGAAAUUCUCUCCCUUCCCGCUCAGGAAGACAGCCAGACGUUCGUACUCCAAGUUGGACUGAGUCUCCCACGGAUCGAGAAGUGGCCGAGGCAGGCGUGUUGCUUACUGAAGUUGGAUUACUGAAAGAGAGAGGUCUGACUGCCGAAGCUGUGGUCACAGAUUUUGUCUUCAAAAACAUUCAGCCGCUGAAAGACAGGGCCUAUCCGGCAUAUCUUUACCGAGGGCUGGCCGACUCAACCCGAGUUACCAAUAGGAGAAUUCCUUCUGCUGAUUUGGUGAGCCGACUCGAAAUGAUCCUCAGGGGUAAAGUUUCAAACGUUGGUGCUCCAGUGGCAUACUCGGCUUGGAACCUGCCUUCUCCCAAAGAUUUCACUCUUUUUGUGUCCAAUCCGCCCGUGACAGAUAGCAAUUUGGGUCUUAGAGUGCGACCCUCUGCUGAAGAGGUCCGUUCCUUAGUUGCUUCGCUCGGGGAGAUACCUGAUGAUGAACGGCAGAUUUAUUUUGAAGUGCCCCUGAACCCUAGUGAUGCAGACAUAAAUGACAUGCUCGAUCUGCUAGCUGAGGAUUCAUCUGAUACUGCUCCGGAUGGCACAUUGGCAGUGGUGCCCCUUCCAGAGGUUGAUGCGACCUUGGAUGUCUCGAAACCUGUCAAUACUCGCCCGAGGCGUCCUAGCCGAACUAGUCAGCCCGAGCCUUCUGCUGAUGAGCAGAAGAAGAAAAGAAGACGCCUCCGGCGAGUGUCCAGCUUUGACGAGGAUGCCAGCACCUUAGCUCCUGCUGCCGAAGAAAUGACUGCAACUGGCCUUGCUGACAUUGAUCCCAAUGGGUGUGCUCCGCCUGCUGCUGACCCCAAUGAGGAUGCUGUUUGUGCUGUUGCUGUGGAAGAUGAGGAGGAAGAGAAUGAAACUCCAUUAACUCGGAAAAAUAGUCGGCAGAUCGUCGCUAGCGGUGGUAGUAGUGGGGUUCCUUCUCCUGCCUUGUCUGCUCUUAUUGGUCUGCAAGAACUGUCCAUGGCCAAUUUUGAUCAAGCUCUAGAGGAUAUGGUCCCUGAGAACUUGUUGUUGGAAUCUGCAGACGUUGAUGCAACAGAAACUUGUGCAGCUGUGCCAGAUGCUGGGUUGAGGUCGUCCCGUGCCUCGUCGACCUUAGAGCACGAUCUCGAGGGUCGGGAUGAUGACUUGGAUCGUCCUGAUCCUACGGAAGUAGCUGAGGGCCCGUCAACCUUAGAGGUGGUCACGGCAGAGAGCUCGGAUCCCUUGAAUAGUGCUGACACGUGCCCAGCCCCCGAGGGUGUCGCCGGGGAGGACUCAGCUCAGGUGAGGAGUGUAGGCCACUACCCAGCCCCCGAGGGUGUUGCCGGGGGUGACCCGGCUCGAGUGGGCAGUGCCAACCUUGACCCAGCCCCCGAGGGUGUCCGAGCGAGGUCUCCCUCCUGCACUUCCAUGGAUGUUCAUGUGGGUUCACCUCCACACUCUGGCGGCAUGAUGGUGGCUCAAACUCCGGAUCAGGGGGUCGCUUUGGAGGGCAGCAUCCCCACUGGUCUGGCGUUAAGCUCUGCUGAAUGUACUGAGAUCGUUCCUGCUGGUCUGCUGCAAGCUGCUUCGAGUGGUGGUCUGGCACCUGGUCAUCAGCUGAUUUCUCCUGACUUGGGGAUCCCUUCGCUUUUUUCCAACCUCCAGGUGCUGUGCUGUGCUUUAGUUUGAUCUUUAUGUUGCAUGAAUUGUCGCCAUUAUGCUCAUCCGCUCUUCUUAUCAGGCUUUGGUGGAUGGAAUGGUCGGCCAGCUGAAGUCGCAGGGUGCUUCCAUCCCGGAGGUGGCUUCAUCUCUUGAGCGUUGGAAUCCGGUGUUGCUUCGGGGUCGUGUAUCUGAGUUGGAGGCCACUAAUGCUGGUUAGUGUCCUUUCUUCUUCUUCUUUGUUCUUGCCCGUGGGUUGUUUUACCUUCUGACCUCAUUUUGCUUGAAUACCUCUUGAUAGGGAUGACUCGGCAGAUCACAGUUCUUGAAGAAAAACAUUCCCAAGAUCAAGCUGAAAUGGCUCGACGAUGCGCUGACUUCGAGGAGAAGUAUUCUCAAAGUCAGAUCGAGUUGAGUCAGGUCUCUGCAGCUUUGGAUGAUGCCAACGCCCUGAGUUCUUCCCUUCAUGCUCAGCUUGACUCUGAGAAGGUAGCUUGCGAACCCGUGCUUCGCCUUAUCAUGCUCUUGGAUUCUGAAUGAGUUGAUUUUUGCUUGUAGGAAGAAAAACGCAUCCUUGCUGCUUCUCGCGACAACUUGGACAGAUUGUACCGAGAUUCCAGCAACUCGCUGACCAUCUUGGAGAGGAGCCACCGUUUUACGAUGGAGGAGCUUGACAACCAGCGCCGUCAACUGCAAGAAUCCUCGGAUGAAGUGGCCCGCCUUACACAGUUGCUAUCGGCAAAGGACGCCACCAUCAAGGGACUCCGAGCUUCUAAGAAAUCCAUUGCUCAGGAGUUAGAAACCGCUCAGCAGGCUGUUAAAGUUGCUGAAGAAGCUGCUGUCACUUUCAAAGCUCAGCGCGAUAAGGCCCUGGACAAAGCCAUUCGGGCGGGACGAAUCUUGAUGAGAAGACCCGGCGUGGUUGUCCCUGAAGAUAUAAGAGCCGAUGUGAACGCUGCCCCUGAUUCCUCGAAUCGCCCUUCUUCAUCGGUCGUUCCUGAAAGAGACAUUGGAAAAUAAAGAAACAGUUCGCGUGCUCUGAGCGCGCAGUUAGCAUGAUCAAGUACUCGUUAGAGGUUAUCGGCUUAUCAUUCGAGUAACGUGAUUACUCCCUUAUUGUAUCAGAAUUUAUUAGUUUGCAAGCUUGUGGUAACGCUGCACGAUGAUUAUGAAAUUUGUUUGUGGGAUAUGGAGAUCAUCCCUUGAACUGCAUAAGCGCGAGUAUGCUAUACUGGUUUAAGCCGUCAGUGACUUUUAGCCGGUAACUUCCGUUAGUCGGGUAUAGUGGUCACCCCGAGUUAAGUAAGCGUGAGCAUGUUGCACCGCCUUAAGUCGUUGCCGACUUAAGUCGAUUGCUCCGUUUGUAGGGCAUAGUGGUCACCCCGAGUUAAGUAAGCGUGAGCAUGUUGCACCGCCAUAAGUCGUUGCCGACUUAAGUCGAUUGCUCCGUUUGUAGGGCAUAGUGGUCACCCUGAGUUAAGUAAGCGUGAGCAUGUUGCACCGCCUUAAGUCGUUGCUGACUUAAGCCGAUUGCUCCGUUUGUAGGGCAUAGUGGUCACCCCGAGUUAAGUAAGCGUGAGCAUGUUGCACCGCCUUAAGUCGUUGCCGACUUAAGUCGAUUGCUCCGUUUGUAGGGCAUAGUGGUCACCCCGAGUUAAGUAAGCGUGAGCAUGUUGCACCGCCUUAAGUCGUUGCCGACUUAAGUCGAUUGCUCCGUUUGUAGGGCAUAGUGGUCACCCCGAGUUAAGUAAGAACGUAAGUCAAUCAUAAAUGAGCCAAGUAUCUUUGAAAUCUCUCUUUAUUGAUGACGUAUUUCCAUUAUACAGAAUACAUGGUCGCUCCGACUGUUUUGAAAUACAGCUAGGGGUAGAACUUUCGGAGGUGCUCUAUGUUCCAGGAGUUCCCAACUUCCGUGCCAUCCAUUUGGGUGAGGCGAUAUGAUCCGGGACGAGUGACUUCUGCUACUAUGAAAGGUCCUUCCCAUAAGGGUGAUAACUUGUGCCGUCCCUCCCCCGUUAGAAUUCGGCGGAGGACGAGGUCUCCCAUCGAAAAGAAACGUUGCCGCACAGCUUUGUCGUGGUAGCGCCUUAGAGUCUGCUGGUAUCGUGCUGAUUGAAUCACUGCAUUCAGUCGUUCUUCCUCAAGUACGUCAAUAUCCUCCAGCCUAGUGGCUUCGGCUUCUGCUAUGCUUUCGAAGAUCAAUCUUGGCGCCCCAAACUUGAGAUCAGCAGGUAGCACUGCCUCCGACCCAUAGACCAUGAAGAAAGGAGUGUUUCCAUGCAGGGCCCGGCUAGGUUGGGUUCUCAAGCUCCAAACAACAUAAGGCAAUUCUCUUAUCCAUUUUCCUGCGAAUUUUUCAUUUUUAUCAAAGACCCUUUUUCUAAGUGCCUCCAAUAUCAUUCCGUUGGCUCGCUCAACCUGCCCGUUGGCUCUUGGAUGGGCUACAGAUGCAUACUUAAUCUGAAUGCUUUUUUGCUCACAGAAGUCAAAGAAUUCUGAACUGGUGAAGUUGGAUCCCAAGUCAGUGAUGAUACUGUUUGGUAUCCCAAAUCUAAAUAUUAUGCUUUGUAUGAAUUCCACGGCUUUAGCAGAGGUUAAAGAGGCAAUGGGCUGGAACUCUAUCCAUUUAGUGAAUUUGUCAAUUGCCACCAAUACAUGGGUGUAUCCUCCUUGAGCUUUCUUGAAAGGUCCAAUCAUAUCCAAUCCCCAGCAUGCGAAAGGCCAAGUUACUGGUAUGGUUUGUAGCUGCUGUGCUGGCAUGUGCUGUUGCUUUGACAGGUAUUGGCAAGCUUCACAUCUCUGAACUAACUUGGCUGCGUCAUUCUUCGCCGUCGGCCAAUAGAAUCCUGACCUGAAAACCUUCCCGACUAAUGUUCUGGAUGCUGCGUGUACUCCACACUGCCCUGCAUGGACUUCCUCCAGAAGUUUCUUCCCGGUGGACGGGAGAACGCACUUCAUGAGGACGCCUGACGCGCCCCUCCUGUAUAAUACCUCCCCAAUGAGUGUAUAGUGGGCUGAUUGUCUGGCAAUGCGCUCUGCCGAGUUCUUGUCAUCUGGUUCUUCUUCAUUCUUUAUAUACUUAAUAAUCGGCUGCCUCCAGUCAUCAGAGUCUGACUCGGGUUGAUCUAUGAUGUUGCACUCUUCUAUUUGACCCGUCGAGAUGCUCGGCUGGAGAAUUUCUUGCACGAAGACCCCGGGCGGGACUUGAGUCCGACCGGAUCCGAGCUUGGACAGUACGUCAGCCGCCGUGUUCCGAUCUCUCUCUAUAUGAUGAAACUCCAGACCUUCGAAUUUAUCUUCUAGCUUUCGUACGGCGGUGCAGUAUCUUCCCAUUGAAUCACUUGAACAAUCCCAUUCCUUGUUUAUCUGACUGAUGACUACCAGAGAAUCUCCGUACACCAUCAGUCUCUUGACACCCAGUGAUAUGGCGAUGUUUAAUCCGUGUAUCAAAGCUUCAUACUCGGCUGCAUUGUUAGAGGCCGGGAAUAGCAAUUGGAGAGCAUACUUGAGGUGCUCGCCUCCAGGUGCGGUGAAGAGAAUUCCUGCUCCUGCUCCCUGUAGCUUCAGCGAGCCAUCAAAAUACAUUCGCCAUACUUCUGCAGUUUCUGGAUUAUCCGGCACUUGCUGUUCUGUCCACUCUGAUACGAAAUCGACCAGUGCUUGAGUUUUGAUGGCAGUGCGAGGUCGGAACUCGAUAUCAUGGGAUCCCAACUCGCAAGCCCACUUGGCUAUUCGGCCAAUGGCUUCCUUGUUGUGAAGAAUGUCCCCUAUUGGAAAACCAGUAACUACUAUGACUUUGUGGUCGUCAAAGUAGUGGCGCAGCUUGCGGGCAGUCAGAAGUACUGCAUAUAAUAGCUUCUGAACUUGAGGAUACUUUUUCUUCGAUGGGCCUAGAACCUCACUGAUGAAGUAGACAGGAUGUUGUACCGGGUAGGCAUGCCCCUCUUCCACUCGCUCGACUACCAACGCGGUGCUUACCACGUGAGUCGUGCAAGAGAUAUAUAGCAGCAAAUCUUCAGCCGGCUGAGUCGGCGUAGCUCGCCGGGGCGGUCUCAAUACUGGCGGUGUUGUCAGGAAUUUCUUCAGUGCGUCUAGAGCUUCUUGUGCCUCUGAAGUCCAUUGAAACUUAUCCACCUUCUUCAAUAAUUUAUAAAAUGGCAGACCUUUUUCUCCCAGCCUGGAUAUGAAUCUGCUCAGGGCUGCCAUACAUCCAGUGAGUCGCUGAACCUUCUUUUGCGAUCGAGGAGCUUCCAUCUUCAUGAUAGCCUCAAUCUUAUCUGGAUUAGCUUCAAUUCCCCGGUGGCUGACAAUAAAUCCGAGUAACUUUCCUGCUGGGACCCCGAAGACGCAUUUCUCAGGAUUGAGCUUCCAUCUAUAUCUUCUCAGGCUGUUGAAAACCAGCUGUAAGUCUUCGAUGAAGUUUUCCGGAUUCUCCGUUUUAAUCACCACGUCGUCUACGUAAGCCUCCACAUGCUUGCCCCAGUGAUCGGCUAAGCAUGUUUGAAUAGCCCUCUGAUAAGUCGCUCCAGCGUUUUUGAGGCCGAACGGCAUGGAGGUAUAACAGAAAGCACCAAACGGGGUGAUGAACGCUGUUUUUUCCUCGUCUUCUUUUGCCAAACUAAUCUGAUGGUACCCGGAAUAGCAAUCUAAGAAAGACAGCAUCGAACAUCCAGCGGUGGAAUCCACCACCUGAUCUAUCCUUGGGAGCCCGAAGGGAUCCUUCGGACAGUGUUUGUUGAGAUCAGUAUAGUCGACGCACAUGCGCCAAUCCACUUUAUUCUUUUUGAGUACAAGAACAGGGUUGGCUAACCACUCGGGGUGUAAUACUUCUCUAAUAAAUCCAGCCGCGACCAAGCGAGCUAACUCGGCACGAAUGGCUUCUCUCUUGUCGGGCGUGAAACGACGCAGCUUUUGCCGGAUCGGCCUCGCCUGAGGAUAGACUUUCAAUUUGUGCUCGGCCAACUCCCUCGGGACUCCCGGCAUAUCCGCAGGUUGCCAUGCGAAUACGUCUCGGUUAUCUUGCAGGAACUGGACGAGCGCGCUUUCCUAUUUGUCAUUUAAACUGGAGUUGAUGAUGGCCGCCUUGCGCUCAUCAGCAAACCCCAGGUUGAUCCGCUUGGUGUCUUCAGUCGGCCGCAUAGAGGUCGCGGCCUGGGCUUCGUUUGCCGGCACGGCGAGGUCUUCUUCAGGCUUAGAGUUCGCCGGUGUAGAAGGAACCGUUGACGGCUUGGUGGUGAGGGCUGCUUGGAUGGCCACUCGGAAACAUUCUGCGGCGCCUUGGAAGUCGGCGCGCACAGUUAUGAUUCCUUGCGGCCCUGGCAUCUUCAGUAUCAUGUACGUAUAGUGUGGGAUGGCCAUGAAUUUGGCCAGCCCCGGCCUCCCGAUGAUGGCGUUGUACCCGCAGUCGAAGUUCGCCACCUCGAACCUCAGGAACUCGGUUCUGUAGUUAUCCGGAGUCCCGAAGGUGACCGGCAUGUAGAUGUGGCCCAGCGGGUAUUCUCCUUCCGUCGGCACGAUGCCAAAGAAAGGAGUGUCUGACUCGUGGAGCUCUUUGAGGUGAACUCCCAAGCCUUGGAGCGUACGGGGGAAGGUGACGUUGAUGCUGCUCCCCCCGUCCACUAGCACCUUCUUCACCCGGCUCUCUCGGAUCACCGGAUCGACGAGGAGCGGGUAUUUACCCGGGUGGUCGAAGUUGAGCCAUUGAUCCUCCCGAGUGAACGUGAUUGGGUGCUCCGACCACCGGUACGGGGCGGGAGGGCCGGUGGUCGCCACCAGUAUCUGGCGAUCGUUGAGCUUUUGUUGUCUCUUGUUCUCCUGCGACCCAUGUCCGCCGAAGAUGACGUUGACCUCCCUGUCGACGCGCGGGAAAGCUCCUCCUCUCCCCUCCUCCGGCUGAUGGGGCUGUCGUGGUUCAUCUGGUCCUCCCCUCGGCGGAGGAGGCGGUAGAGGUUGGAAGGGUCGGCCAUGCCCGACGGAGUGCUUGAAAUCCCGGCAGUUGCGGAGAGUGUGGCGCAUGUCCUUGUGGUACGGGCACUGGGCGUCGAGGAUGUCGUCCAGCGUGCGUUCGCCUCCACGAGGUCCUCCUCGGGCGCGAGAGGCGGGUGGUCCGGCGGCGUGUACCUCUUCGCGAGGCCUUUUCUCCCAGCGCUUGUCGGGCGGCUGGUUCGCGUCGCGUCGUGGUGCCGCCGGUGCGGGCUUUGCUCCUCCGAUGAGGUCCUGGGCCCGCUCGUCAGCGGUGAUGUAGAGGUCGGCUUCCCGGAACAGCUCCUCGGAGGUAGUCGGCGCCUUUUGCAGUAUGGCUCGGACGAAAGCCGAGUCGUUAGAUCCUCUGUAGAAGUCCUCGAUCACGGCCGCCUCCGUGACCUCGGGGAUGCGGUUUCUCAUGGUCUGGAACCUUUUAAGGUAUGACCGGAGAGUCUCAUCCCCCCGGCGCUUGAUGGAUUUGAGGUCCCAUGGUUGCGCUGGCUUGUCGGAGAGAGACUGGAAGUUGGCGGUGAAACGUCGACUGAAGUCUCCCCAGUCGUCGAUGCAGUGUCGGGGUAGAUGUCGUAGCCACUGCAGCGCGUCUUGCCCGAGGACGAUGGGCAGAUACGCAGUCAUGACGUCCUCGGAUGCCCCGGCAGCCCGAGCAGCGGUGGUGUAGACGGCCAACCAGCCCCCUGAAUCCUGCUUAGGUUCAUAUUUGUCGACAUUGGAUACCUUGAAGUUGGGAGGCCAUUGGAUGGCCCUAAGGCGCGGAGUAAGGGCAGAUACUCCGCACGUGUCCUCCUGUCGUCGAGGAUGUCGUCUGUCCCGGGGAGGGGAGUGGCGGUGGUGGUUCCUCGACCGUCCCCGGGUGGUUCCACCAGUUGAAGCUGUUGCCGACUCAGUUCGGGUGGCCUGGCUUUGAGUCGGGAAGCCAUGAUCUCGGUCAUACUCCUCCCGACGGCGAUUUUCGUUCUCGUGCCGCCGUUCGCGCGAAGCAUUGAUAGAGCUCCGCGCGUCUCGGCGACUGUUGAUGGCGUGUCGCAGAUCGUUCGGCGGGUGAGCGAGCGGUAGAAGAUGGUUGGCUGCCUGAGUGAACAGGCGCCGGUAUCCCUCGGCGUCGGGGGUCCGAGGAAGUCCGUCAGCUAUCCGGGCUAGAACGCCUCCGACCUCGCUCGGCGUGUUCAUAGCUCGGGCGAAGUCAGGGUUCAAGUUGCGCCCGAAGAGCGGAUUCUCGCGUCGUUGCCUUGCAUCUUGCUCGGCUUGCUCCUGAGUCUGACGGCGAUCACGUCGUCGGGAGUUCCUUCGUUCCCUGAAGACGCGUUCUUCCGGAGUUUCUCCUAUCUCUGAGACCUCGUCUCGCGAGACAGGCUGCUCCGGAUCCCGUUCUCCGGCUGCGUGAUGUCGUCGAACGUUUCUGCGUCGGUUCCUUCGUCGGCGGGAUUCUCGCUGAGGCGGUUCUUCUCCGGGCGCGGUCGGUUCAUCGUCGGAGACGGCGGGCGACUCUGCCCUCCCGAUGAAGAGGACGUCGGGGUAGAACGGUAUUGUUGCCGCGGCGACUUUCUUUCCGUUCUCCUUUGAGGUCGGAGGAACGGGAAGAACGACUGGCCUCUCCCUGAUCUCCUUCCUUCUCAUGACCUGUGUCCAUUCUUUCGUCGGGGAAGUAGACAGCGGAGUCUUCCGGGUCAGCGAGCUUCUAGCUCCAGCCUUCCCGGAGACGAUCUUGUUCCGAAGAGCCGGAGGUAGCGUUUUUCCAGCAUUUUCGGAGUUUGUUGGAGGAGACUUCUGUUCCGGCAGAUCCGCGAGGCGGUGUAGGAUUCCUUCUUCGUCCGCCACGGAUGAGAUUGUCCCGAAGCAGAAUAUGGAUCCGGGACGCAUGGUGAUCUUGCUGUGGAAGGUGACGGCCAUUGAGCUAGCUUGGAUCGUCGACACACCCCCUACCUGGCGCGCCAGCUGUCGGUGUUUUGGAUCCGACCGCACACCCGGGGUUGCCCCCUCAAGGUGUUUUUAGGAGUAGGACGGUGUCGACGACUGUAGCAAAAUGGUUCGUGCCGAUCGCACGAGGGACAAUGAACAAGAUUUGCAGGUUCGGGCCGCUUGGAAGUGCGCAACACCCUACGUCCUGGUGAGUAUAUGAGCGUGGUUACAAGAGGAUUCUCUGGAUAGAGGGCGCAGAGAGUUUUUGUGGGUGGCUAAGUAGAAUAGGGUCGAUCGUUCUGAAGGGGUGCCCCCUAGGCCUUAUAUACUCGACCGUGGGGCAGUACAUGUGAUAUGAUAACAACAAGUAGCUAAAAGAUAGUGAACCUCUUGAGUUUAUCCCUGCGUAACCCUCGCCGACUUAUCCUCGCAUGGCUCCGCUGCAUGGGGGCUUCAGCGCGGGAAAGUCGGGUCUCUGUUGCGAUUCAUUCGUUCGACGUUGUGGGCUGUCCGGGUCUCACGUCUUCUCUUCUUUGUUGGUUGUUUUUCCCUAGGCCCACGAAGGAAUGACCUUACGAAUUAUUGGGCCCUUGGGCCUUUCGUGAGGCCUUUUACUUCUUUAGUGGACCCAGGGGAUAUCUAUCCCCCACAGUUAGAAAACACCUUCGUGGUUAAAAACAAUGAAGAGUCGAAGAAAAGUUUUUACCUUGAAGUUAGAAUAGAAUAAACUACCGAUGAUAUGUUGUCGUCGGUAGCGGCUGAUAUCGGCCUCAAGCUUCAGGAAACCAAUACUCUUCGACAGAGUACCGAUAACCUUCACCCCGGUUUGGUCUCGGACACAACCUAAGCUCUCAUCGUCAAUGCCGCCGAAGAGUAGUGCCCCUGGUUGAUACCCGCAGGAUAUGGCGUAGUCUCUCAAUUCUUCUUUUUCAGCCUUUGACAAUUCUUGUCCAAUUAAGUUUUGAAAGUUGAAAUCUUCUUCUUCUGAAGUAUCUUCGGCUAUUUCCUUCUCUUUCCAGGCACUGUGGCUAUGGUCUCUUCGGCAGAUGUAGCAGCUUCUUCUGCGGCCAUAUCCAGAAGUAUUUUAUCUAUAUCAGAAAGUGUGCUUUCUAAGUUUGAAUCCUUGGCCGUUGCAGCUUCGGUAAUUGCGGCUUCGGCAGGUGCAGCUUCGGUAGCUGCAGUGCUCUCGACAGCUGGUGCUUUUGACGCCGAAGUUGGUGGUGGUGUUUCUUCAAUGACCUCUGUCACAGUGAUGAUUCUUUGUUUUUCGGCCCAGCAGACUUCUUCGUUGCCGAGGGCUCCUUCUUCUGUAAAAGCUUCGUCGAAUGUGGCCCCAGUGGACUUAGCUUGAUAGGCAAGGAUUCAGUCAUUACCUUUAGAAUUUCUUCCACGUUGGCAGCAGA